UGGGGAAUUUUCCGCAAUGGGCGAAAGCCUGACGGAGCAACGCCGCGUGAGGGAUGAAGGCCUCUGGGCUGUAAACCUCUUUUCUCAAGGAAGAAGAACUGACGGUACUUGAGGAAUAAGCCACGGCUAAUUCCGUGCCAGCAGCCGCGGUAAUACGGGAGUGGCAAGCGUUAUCCGGAAUUAUUGGGCGUAAAGCGUCCGCAGGCGGCCCUGUAAGUCUGUCGUUAAAGCGUGGAGCUUAACUCCAUUUCAGCGAUGGAAACUACAGGGCUUGAGUGUGGUAGGGGCAGAGGGAAUUCCCGGUGUAGCGGUGAAAUGCGUAGAUAUCGGGAAGAACACCAGUGGCGAAGGCGCUCUGCUGGGCCAUAACUGACGCUCAUGGACGAAAGCCAGGGGAGCGAAAGGGAUUAGAUACCCCUGUAGUC
RNAcentral lists this ribosomal RNA (425 nucleotides) under uncultured cyanobacterium. RNAcentral's name for it is "bacterial SSU rRNA". It matches the Rfam family "Bacterial small subunit ribosomal RNA", at positions 355 to 795 of the family's 1533-position model. The record is from RNAcentral. Lineage: Bacteria; Bacillati; Cyanobacteriota.